Molecule: non-coding RNA, 112 nt
Filed under: Petrotoga mobilis
Lineage: Bacteria; Thermotogati; Thermotogota; Thermotogae; Petrotogales; Petrotogaceae
Also listed under: 1 other name
Description: SAM-I sequence
Rfam family: SAM riboswitch aptamer (S box leader)
About the family: The SAM riboswitch is found upstream of a number of genes which code for proteins involved in methionine or cysteine biosynthesis in Gram-positive bacteria. The SAM riboswitch acts at the level of transcription termination control. The predicted structure consists of a complex stem-loop region followed by a single stem loop terminator region.
Source: RNAcentral
UCCUUAUCGAGAGAGGCGGAGGGACUGGCCCGAAGAAGCCCGGCAACCUGCAUAAUUUAACAAAAUUAUGCAAUGGUGCUAAAUCCUGCAGAGAAAUUCUGGGAGAUAAGGA